UCAAAAACAUGUCCUUUUGUUUAUAAAUAUAAGGUCUGACCUGCCCAAUGAUAUAAGUUGAAUGGCCGCGGUAUAUUAACUGUGCUAAGGUAGCAUAAUCACUUGUCUUUUAAUUAAAGGCUAGAAUGAAUGGUUGGACGAGGUAUUUUCUUUCUUUAGUUUAGUUUAUGAAUUUAAUUUUUUAGUUAAAAAGCUAAAAUUUAUUUGGGGGACGAGAAGACCCUAUAGAUCUUUAUAUUUUAUUUUAUUAUAUAUUUUGGUGUUAUAAAUUGUUUUAAUAAUUUAAUUUAUUUGAUUGGGGUGAUUGUAGAAUUUAAAUUAACUUCUAUUAUUUUUAUUCAUUGAUUAGUGUUUAUUUUGAUCCAGUUUUAUUGAUUAAAAGAUUAAGUUACCUUAGGGAUAACAGCGUAAUUCUUUCGGAGAGCUCGAAUCGAUGAAGGAGUUUGCGACCUCGAUGUUGGAUUAAAAUAAGUUUUAGGUGCAGGAGCUUAAAAACUAGGUCUGUUCGACCUUUAAUAUUUUACAUGAUCUGAGUUCA
RNAcentral lists this ribosomal RNA (538 nucleotides) under Zelus grassans. Its description in RNAcentral is "partial 16S ribosomal RNA". It matches the Rfam family "Bacterial large subunit ribosomal RNA", at positions 1807 to 2613 of the family's 2925-position model. Lineage: Eukaryota; Metazoa; Arthropoda; Insecta; Hemiptera; Reduviidae. The record is from RNAcentral.